GACGAACGCUGGCGGCGUGCUUAACACAUGCAAGUCGAACGGAAAGGCCCUGCUUUUGUGGGGUGCUCGAGUGGCGAACGGGUGAGUAACACGUGAGUAACCUGCCCUUGACUUUGGGAUAACUUCAGGAAACUGGGGCUAAUACCGGAUAGGAGCUCCUGCUGCAUGGUGGGGGUUGGAAAGUUUCGGCGGUUGGGGAUGGACUCGCGGCUUAUCAGCUUGUUGGUGGGGUAGUGUCUUACCAAGGCUUUGACGGGUAGCCGGCCUGAGAGGGUGACCGGCCACAUUGGGACUGAGAUACGGCCCAGACUCCUACGGGAGGCAGCAGUGGGGAAUAUUGCACAAUGGGCGGAAGCCUGAUGCAGCAACGCCGCGUGCGGGAUGACGGGCUUCGGGUUGUAAACCGCUUUCGCCUGUGACGAAGCGUGAGUGACGGUAAUGGGUAAAGAAGCACCGGCUAACUACGUG
Molecule: ribosomal RNA, 468 nt
Filed under: uncultured bacterium
Lineage: Bacteria
Description: partial 16S ribosomal RNA
Rfam family: Bacterial small subunit ribosomal RNA
Source: RNAcentral